UCCCUGGUGGUCCAGUGGCUAAGACUUCAAGCUCCCAAUGCAUGGGGCCUGGGUUCAAUCCCCAGUCAGGGAA
This 73-nucleotide transfer RNA is filed under the name Ovis aries (sheep). It matches the Rfam family "tRNA". Rfam says of the family: Transfer RNA (tRNA) molecules are approximately 80 nucleotides in length. The record is from Rfam by way of RNAcentral. Lineage: Eukaryota; Metazoa; Chordata; Mammalia; Artiodactyla; Bovidae.